CUAGAGUAAGAGACAGACUAAUUAGGAUCUAUUUUAUAAAGUGGGAAUGACAUCUGGCAAAGCAAUAUUCCUCUAUGAAGAAUUGAGAUUAUAGGCAAUGGCUAACGUUCUUUGCAUUAUAAUUCUAAAGUUGAUAGGAAACUAGAGGUAUGUGAACUCGAUUUGAGAUGCCUUUUGUUCAGCAAUACGUUUGAGUUGGGUUAGGG
Molecule: long non-coding RNA, 206 nt
Filed under: Elaeis guineensis (African oil palm)
Lineage: Eukaryota; Viridiplantae; Streptophyta; Magnoliopsida; Arecales; Arecaceae
Description: long non-coding RNA (EGUI_LNC013615)
Source: RNAcentral